GUCUGGCUAACGUGGCCGCAUGCGGGGGUGCUCCAGGGACUCGGGAGGUGGCGGCCCGUUAGCCGCUGUGUUCCCCGCGUUGGCAGAGAAAUGUCGAGACCGUGUAAAACAGCGGUUCGGCGAGUAACAGACAGCCACCCGACCCCUAGGGAUCCGGCCUUGUCCGACCGGACCACACUCGUUCGCGAGUGUGGAAGUCCCCAGGGGUCGCUUCAU
This 216-nucleotide small RNA is filed under the name Actinoplanes campanulatus. RNAcentral describes it as "Actinobacteria sRNA Ms_IGR-5". It matches the Rfam family "Actinobacteria sRNA Ms_IGR-5". Lineage: Bacteria; Bacillati; Actinomycetota; Actinomycetes; Micromonosporales; Micromonosporaceae. The record is from Rfam by way of RNAcentral.